This 1146-nucleotide long non-coding RNA is filed under the name Helianthus annuus (common sunflower). Lineage: Eukaryota; Viridiplantae; Streptophyta; Magnoliopsida; Asterales; Asteraceae. The record is from RNAcentral.
AUGUGUACAACUAAUGAAUUUUAUAAGGGUAAAAUUUUUGUCAUCCUUUGUUAUGACCUGCAGUCGCUCUUAAGGCUUAAGGUGAAGAUGGUGGACGAUAGCUAUUGGGGUUGGAGUAUGACGGUCGGGGAGUCACAAAACAAUUGAGAAGAAGAAAAAUUUGGAUUGAACCAGCCCAGCCGAGCCGAUCGAUCAUAAAGCAGGAAGAGGUGACAGAGUUUCUCCUUCAAUCCACCUAUUAAGAAGUUGGCCUUGGAAAUCAGACACGCGAUGGAUUCUUUAUACUUGGUAAUUGAUUGCAACACAGAUCCUUCAAUCUUCCACUCUGUUCAUAUCUCACGAGUGGGAAGACCAGCCGUAUCUGAUGGGUGCUUGCGUUUCAAGUCAUGAUAAAGCAAGACUUUGGUUGCCCUUAAAGAUGAGGUGAUUGUAAUAAUGGAUGAACAAUAUGAUUUGAAAAGGUUAAUGGGUUAACCAUAGUCGGCAAAUGUCAUUGAGGAUGAGCCAUUUGAAACUUCACCUAUAUGUUAUCAGGCGAUUAAAGCUCUCAGAACUCAUUCCAGUUUAAAGAGGCUUGUUUUCAUGUAAUUCUAAGAGUUUAAUGGCAAAUUAUGGUAUGCCAAGUGAUAAAGUUGUGCAGGGAAACUUCGAGAAAAAUAUUUAUUUAAAGUAUUACUUUCAGCUUCAAAGUGGAGAGAGUCGUCAUCUACCGAGCAUGUGGAAUAUGAUCACGCCUUCCAAAGCAUGAGGAUUUCAGUGGGUUCGAGGUUAACUUUGGUGGACUAUCGAGACAAGACUGGAUGCAAUCUGGUCGACUAAAUGCCGCUCCAAGUGCUUCAUUCAUUCUCUACGGGUGCAUUCAAACAAAUAAUGGAUGGUUCUCUCAGGGAUGGGGUAUACGAAUACCCCUCUGUUGAUUAUGUAUUUUUAAGUCUGGCUUGGUAAAUGGUGUGUGUAAAAGUUUAUUAUGAUUCAAGGUAUUCUGUUUUUACGUGAUUUACUAGGGUGCUAUUUUGGUGGUCUUGUAUGAGGCAGAUCCCUUGUGCUUAUAUACGGCCAACACUUUGCUGGGCUGGUAUUUUGUAUGUUCAGUUGUUUAAGGAAGCUCUUUAUUGCUGGUAAAAAAACAAGGGUUAUCUUGGCAAG